This 250-nucleotide ribosomal RNA is filed under the name uncultured bacterium. Its description in RNAcentral is "partial 16S ribosomal RNA". It matches the Rfam family "Bacterial small subunit ribosomal RNA", at positions 524 to 773 of the family's 1533-position model. The record is from RNAcentral.
UACAGAGGGUGCAAGCGUUAAUCGGAAUUACUGGGCGUAAAGCGCGCGUAGGCGGCUGAUUAAGUCGGGUGUGAAAGCCCCGGGCUCAACCUGGGAACUGCAUCCGAUACUGAUCGGCUAGAGUAUGAGAGAGGGAGGUAGAAUUCCACGUGUAGCGGUGAAAUGCGUAGAUAUGUGGAGGAAUACCGGUGGCGAAGGCGGCCUCCUGGCUUAAUACUGACGCUGAGGUGCGAAAGCGUGGGGAGCAAAC